UCCCUUAGAUGUCCUGGGCUGCACGCGCGCUACACUGGAAGUUACGGAUUGAGAUACUACCUUGUCCGAAAUGGUCCGGGUAAUCACCUAAAAGCUUGUCAUAAUUGGAAUGGAUUAUUGUAACUAGUAAUCCUGAACGAGGAAUUCCUAGUAAGUCCCAGUCAACAGCUGGUACUGAUUACGUCCCUGCCCUUUGUACACACCGCCCGUCGCUACUACUGAUUGGACGUUUAAGCAAGAUUUUUAAACACUGACAGUGUGUAGUUCACGCUAUACUACAGUGAGAAGAAGAAGAUCGAGCUUACUUGUCUAGAGGAAGUAAAAGUCGUAACA
Molecule: ribosomal RNA, 333 nt
Filed under: uncultured eukaryote
Lineage: Eukaryota
Description: partial 18S ribosomal RNA
Rfam family: Eukaryotic small subunit ribosomal RNA
Source: RNAcentral